AGAAUGUCAAUAAAGGGCGUAUGGUGGAUGCCUUGACUCUAAGAGGCGAUGAAGGACGUGGCUUGGCUGCGAUAUGCUUCGGGGAGGUGCCUAGCAACCUUUGAUCCGGAGAUCUCCGAAUGGGGAAACCUAAUCGCGCACAUCGCGAUUAAUUUGCUCGCAAGAGCGGAUUGCACACUCAGGGAAUUGAAACAUCUUAGUACCUGAAGGAAGAGAGACCAAUUUGAACUUUUUAAUUUACGGGAGCGAUAACCGCCCUCGUAAAUUAAAAAGUUCUCGGAAUUCCCUUAAUAGCGGCGAGCGAAAAGGGAACAGCUCAAACCGACCGCAUCACACGGGGUGUGAUGCGGCUAGGCUUUAGGCUUUAGGCUUUAGGCUUUAGGAAUUUUUUCCUAGCGCCUAGCGCCUAGCGCCUAGUGCCUAGCCGCAUCGUUCUUCGCGCGAUGCGGCCGGUGUUGUGGGGAAACAAUGGGGUUUGUCCCAGAAAGUUACAAAAUAAUUUGAUUAGCAGAAAUCGCUGGAAAGCGAUGCCCAAGAGGGUAAUGGCCCCGUAUGCGAAAAUCAAAUGUCUUUCCGAUUGUUUUACCCGAGUACCUCGAGACACGAAUAGCUCGGGGGAAUCCGGCAGAACUAACUGCCAAAGCUAAAUACUCUUAGAGAUCGAUAGUGAACAAGUACCGUGAGGGAAAGGUGAAAAGAACCCCGAUGAGGGGAGUGAAAUAGACCUGAAACCAUAUGCCUACAAGGAGUCGGAGCGGUGUCUCACUAGUGUUCGACUCCUUUAGUUGAAAAAGUUGAUAAGGUAAUAAGUUGGAUAAGGACACGCACAACUUAUUGAACUUAAGC
RNAcentral lists this ribosomal RNA (846 nucleotides) under bacterium. Its description in RNAcentral is "partial 23S ribosomal RNA". It matches the Rfam family "Bacterial large subunit ribosomal RNA", at positions 1 to 672 of the family's 2925-position model. The record is from RNAcentral.